This 1132-nucleotide long non-coding RNA is filed under the name Capsella rubella. RNAcentral describes it as "long non-coding RNA (CRUB_LNC001076)". The record is from RNAcentral. Lineage: Eukaryota; Viridiplantae; Streptophyta; Magnoliopsida; Brassicales; Brassicaceae.
AAUAAAUAGAUUAGUGUGAAAAACAACAUUUUCAAUUGCUUAAUGAAAAGGUGGAAACAUAUUUAAGUUCUUAAAGGGAUCGGACAAGAGUCACAGAUAUAUAUGUCUUACGACAUAUUACAUUGGUGAUCCUUAAGCUUGGGUUUCAUGGAGUCACAUUCUUGGAUCCUUAAUUAAGCUUCUCUAAUUUCCCUUCUCCACUUUGUGUAAUAUCGGAGAUAACAAAAGAUAAACUCAUCGAAGGGUCAGGCCUCUUCUAGCCAAGUGUGGUAUAAACAGUCCUCCCUCCUGUUUCUAAGGUAAUAAAUCAAAGUAACCGUACGUACAUAUGAUUUUGCUCUUCUUUCGUUAAAGAGAGAAAAUCUUAUGUUUGUUUUGUUGUUCCUUUUGUAACAUGCAGCUUGAAGAACAGAGCAGAAGACAGGCCGGUCUACCUCCGACAAAAUUCGAUGAGUUUAUCUUUUGUUAUCUCAAACAUUAUAACUUUUGUUAAAAAAAAAUUAUCUUUCUUAUAUCCGAUGGAAUGAAAGCCACGUAAGAUCCACUCUCUUUGAAUUUCAAUGAGUUAGUGAAUGGACGUUGCAAUUUAUUUCAUAUUAGAUAAAAAAAAAAUCAUUGAGUUUAAUGGGAGAUGCGGUUUAACAAAAUGUCUUUCUUAUAUAAUAAUAAUUUGGAAUAAGAAAAACAUGUAACGUCAAUUAUGCGCAUCUAUUGUUUUAAACAAUAGUUUAAUUUAGGAAUAUGCAUGGCUUAACAAAUAGUUGACAAUGUGUAUUAGUUACAGCAACUAAUUCAUAAUAAUCAAAUUUCAGAAAAUAUAAAUUCAUUUGGAAAAAGAACAAACAACAACUAUAUAUAUAUAUAUAUAUAGAUUUAUGUAACCUUUACUUUAUUCUAAUAAAUACUACGUACUUAGCAUUUUAAUAAUAAAUUUAUAACUUCUACAUAUAUAUAUAUACACGUAUAUAACAUCUAUACUAAAAUAAGAAAAUUAUUAUACUAAAAUAAGAAAAUUACUACGGGGUAAAUUUGUUAAAUACAACAUAGUAAAUACAACAUCGAAACAUUUACGAACCACAAAAAUUCAAUCACAAAUUUAUUAAAAAAAGAUUAAAUCCGUGGUGUACUACGG